Molecule: long non-coding RNA, 2661 nt
Organism: Ictalurus punctatus (channel catfish)
Lineage: Eukaryota; Metazoa; Chordata; Actinopteri; Siluriformes; Ictaluridae
Source: Ensembl
UUUAAAUAAAUUUAAAGAGUUGUUAAUUAGCUUUUUGUACCGAAAAUAUUUUUGUUAAUUAUUUUUUUUGUAUCUUUUUUUUUUUUUACUUCUAAUGCCUUUGAAAAGUAAAAAAAAAAAAAAAAUGCUUUCUGUAAAAAGGCAAUGAAAAAACACUUUAUUACUGUAAGGUCAGUCCUUUCAGUAGGAGAUUACUCCACUGUAGAGAAAUAAAACACACAAAAUAAAUAAUAAAACCAGACAUUAACCAGAAAGUCAUUCUUUCUUGUCUACUGUAUAAAGCAUGUAGUGGAAAAGCUCUUAUGUGAAACUGGUUUUUUGUUCACAUUUUUUUGGCUGAAUGUUUUUCAUUGGCUGAACUUGUGUAUCACUUAUUGAAGUACUGAAUAUGGAAAAUUAAUUAAAUGAACCCGUUGAUCCUGGAAUACAUUUCAACUUCCAGUCAGUUACUUAUACAGUGUAGUCAUAAACCCCCCAGUGCCUGAUUAUUAUCCAUAAUACUCAUAAAAUUGUAUAAUGAUGUUAAUAUAAUGUAAUAUCCCUGAUAUCAUAUUGUUAUAUUGCCAGCGGUGCCCUUCAGUUAUUUAUGUGCUACAUAGGAUUUUAUUUAGUUUUUUGCCAGCUCUUUGCCGUCCUUCCCUCUCUCAGUUCCUGCUUGUCUUUCGCAGCUGCUAGAACUUAACUAAAGGCGCAGCCCCACAGGGCUACAUUACCCCUCUAAUGGAGCUCUAACCUGCCACUAAAAUGGGCACACACUGGCCGCGAUGCAUUUGUUCUUGUAUCCUCCCCUGUGGUUGAACCUGGCAGGCAGUCACUUCUUAUCCAGGCCAUGGUGAUGGAUCGCUAAUUCAUAGAUAAGCUAGCCCAAAGCAAGGUCUCUCUCUCUCUCUCUCUCUCUCUCCCUCUCCCCCCUUUCUUGCCGAGUUAUUUGAGGUCAGCGACAAUAAGACCUUUUUUUUUUUUCUAAAUAAAAAAAAGAUUGUUUCUGGAAAAAUAUUACACUAUAUUGUGUGUAAAUAAAAUAUGGAUUUGAAGAAUGUGGAGAGUUAUUGAUUCAGCUGGAUGUGUUUAUUGAGCCAUAGUACAUUAUUGAUAGUAUUCAGCACAUAAUAUUUGCUAUUAUCAGUACUCAGUCAAGGAUGCCAAUUCCUUCCGCAAGGCACCCAAUGCAAAAAAAACUCAAAAACUGAUGACCUGAAAUGGUCGUGUAUGAUACAUGUUUGACGAAUUAAUAUAACAAUUCACCAAGGCACAACAUAAUACAUUUAUACACUGAAAGUAGUUACUACUGACACACUAUUUUGUGUUAAUUCAAGACAUUUUAAUCAUAAACACAGCCCGCAUGCAAAAUAGACUUUUUUUUUUUUUUUUAAAUGAAUUUACUGAAUUCAUGCACUUAUACUAAUAUGAAUACCUUUAUGGUCAUUGUACAAGGACAAGAUUCAGCGUGUAGUUCCACAUCAAGCAAUGUUACGUUAAAUAAGAAAUGAAUUUAUAUCAGAUAGAACUACAAUGCUGUUAUGACAUAUUUAUAAAAUAUUCAUAUGAAGUUCAUUCCAGUUGGCGUUUUCGAUAGUUGGUGCCAGCGAGAAGAAGCAAAAGAACCCUUACCAUUACUAAACUCAGUAAUGGUAACGGUUUAACCGCCUCUCUCUAUCACAGACUGUGCGUGUGUGUGGUAUCCCACAGGAGGAGGUAUGCCACACUGGAUAGUACAUCAUCUAUACUGUAGUGUCUCCAUAAUGAACUUACAGUAUAUGAUGAUAUCCUGUCCAGAAGACAAUAUAAGACCUUGUGAACCUUAGUGUGAGAAAUUUCCGGAUUGUUCCUGUGAAGAAAACAGAAGAAAAUUGGCUCAGUAUAUUUCCCUUAUUAUAUCAAAUUGUUCUUUUUAUGGCACUUACAAGAAAAUCCUCUCUAAACAUUGAGAUCAUACAUACUUAUGGGCCAAUUCAUCAACAGUUUAAUUGGAUGCCAAAACUGACACGCAGUUGUUACCUUUUCCAACUUGCUUUGCUCACCUUAAGGUCACUUGUUUCGUGUCCCCUUGAAGUAGGUGUUAACACACAGCUUAAUUACACUCAUUUAACACCUUCCCUGUCAUCUUUCCUUCCUUUCUAUUUGUCUGCAGGCUCGGUGUCUCCGUUUUGUCCAGCGGUCCCCCAGAGUUCUGUCAAAUAACCCCCUUCCCUCAGCAUUUUAAUGACCUUUACUCAUUUGCAUAUGGUGAUGAUACAAGGGUUGUCUCACUCUUAUCUGGGUUCUCCUUUUCCGCCUUUCGACCAAUCAGACUCCUGUCCUCUAUCAACCACCGAACAGUAACUCCUGACUUUAGUGUGUCUGCACAUGUGGACGGACACGCCUUCUUAUCACGCCGGUUAAACCUGGAAUUGGACCAACAACAACAACAAAGUUAUAACCCAAUGAGUCAGUUUAUUAGAUAUGAUUGAUCUCCAAAGCUGAAUAUUUUAAUUGAAUACGCUGGGUCUAAGACAAGUGAACUGUCUAGCUUUUUAUGUAGUUCAUUGUUCUGAUUACAUAAAAGCUUGUGUUUCGUACAGUAGACUGUUUUUAAUGUUGCUGUACAGUUCUGCUGAGAGUUAGAAAUGUAUAGUUUCAGUCUGCUUAUUUGUCUUUUAAACUUAAAAGAAGGAUUAUUGG